CAGGUCUCUGGGCUGUUACUGACGCUGAGGAGCGAAAAGCAUGGGGAGCGAACAGGAUUAGAUACCUGGUAGUCCAUGCCGUAAACGUUGGGCACUAGGUGUGGGGGACAUUCCACGUUUUCCGCGCCGUAGCUAACGCAUUAAGUGCCCCGCCUGGGGAGUACGGCCGCAAGGCUAAAACUCAAAGGAAUUGACGGGGGCCCGCACAAGCGGCGGAGCAUGCGGAUUAAUUUGAUGCAACGCGAAGAACCUUACCAAGGCUUGACAUAUACCGGAUCGUUCCAGAGAUGGUUCUUCCCCUUUGGGGUCGGUAUACAGGUGGUGCAUGGUUGUCGUCAGCUCGUGUCGUGAGAUGUUGGGUUAAGUCCCGCAACGAGCGCAACCCUCGUUCCAUGUUGCCAGCACGUGAUGGUGGGGACUCAUGGGAGACUGCCGGGGUCAACUCGGAGGAAGGUGGGGAUGACGUCAAAUCAUCAUGCCCCUUAUGUCUUGGGCUUCACGCAUGCUACAAUGGCCGGUACAAAGGGUUGCGAUACUGUGAGGUGGAGCUAAUCCCAAAAAGCCGGUCUCAGUUCGGAUUGAGGUCUGCAACUCGACCUCAUGAAGUCGGAGUCGCUAGUAAUCGCAGAUCAGCAACGCUGCGGUGAAUACGUUCCCGGGCCUUGUACACACCGCCCGUCAAGUCACGAAAGUCGGUAACACCCGAAGCCGGUGGCCCAACC
This 722-nucleotide ribosomal RNA is filed under the name Kocuria palustris. RNAcentral's name for it is "bacterial SSU rRNA". It matches the Rfam family "Bacterial small subunit ribosomal RNA", at positions 722 to 1440 of the family's 1533-position model. Lineage: Bacteria; Bacillati; Actinomycetota; Actinomycetes; Micrococcales; Micrococcaceae. The record is from RNAcentral.